AUUAGCAUAUCGUUAAUAACCCCCUGAGCAGUACCAGCGUGCUUUAAACUCAAAGAAUUUGGCGGCACCCCUACCUGUUAGAGGAGCCUGCCCCGUAAAUGACGCCCCACGCUAGUUUCACCUUUGUUAAAAGCCUGUAUACCGCCGUGCAGGGUGUAUUUAUAAAUACGCCCAAAAUUAUCUUACGUAAACAACUCAGGUCUAGGUGCAGCCCACGCAAAGGAGGAGGUGGGCUACAUUAUUAAAAUUGCGGAUAAAUUUAUGACAGGUUUUGAAGUAGGAUUUAAUAGUAAGCUUACGACUACCGUAGGCCGGCCAGGUGCUGGG
RNAcentral lists this ribosomal RNA (327 nucleotides) under Cheleocloeon sp. BMNH 704123. RNAcentral describes it as "partial 12S ribosomal RNA". The record is from RNAcentral. Lineage: Eukaryota; Metazoa; Arthropoda; Insecta; Ephemeroptera; Baetidae.